Molecule: ribosomal RNA, 819 nt
Filed under: uncultured bacterium
Lineage: Bacteria
Description: bacterial SSU rRNA
Rfam family: Bacterial small subunit ribosomal RNA
Source: RNAcentral
AUGCGUAGAUAUCGGGAAGAACACCAGUGGCGAAGGCGCUCUGCUGGGCCAUUACUGACGCUCAUGGACGAAAGCCAGGGGAGCGAAAGGGAUUAGAUACCCCUGUAGUCCUGGCCGUAAACGAUGAACACUAGGUGUCGGGGGAAUCGACCCCUUCGGUGUCGUAGCUAACGCGUUAAGUGUUCCGCCUGGGGAGUACGCACGCAAGUGUGAAACUCAAAGGAAUUGACGGGGGCCCGCACAAGCGGUGGAGUAUGUGGUUUAAUUCGAUGCAACGCGAAGAACCUUACCAGGGUUUGACAUCCUGCGAACCUCUUAGAAAUUUGAGGGUGCCUUCGGGAAUGCAGUGACAGGUGGUGCAUGGCUGUCGUCAGCUCGUGUCGUGAGAUGUUGGGUUAAGUCCCGCAACGAGCGCAACCCACGUUUUUAGUUGCCAGCAUUUAGUUGGGCACUCUAGAAAGACCGCCGGUGAUAAACCGGAGGAAGGUGUGGAUGACGUCAAGUCAUCAUGCCCCUUACACCCUGGGCUACACACGUACUACAAUGCCACGGACAAAGGGCAGCAAACUCGCGAGAGCUAGCAAAUCCCAUAAACCGUGGCUCAGUUCAGAUCGUAGGCUGCAACUCGCCUACGUGAAGUAGGAAUCGCUAGUAAUCGCAGGUCAGCAUACUGCGGUGAAUACGUUCCCGGGCCUUGUACACACCGCCCGUCACACCAUGGAAGUUGGCCAUGCCCGAAGUCGUUACUCCAACCCUUGUGGAGGAGGACGCCGAAGGUGGGGCUAAUGACUGGGGUGAAGUCGUAACAAGGUAGCCGUA